RNAcentral lists this ribosomal RNA (440 nucleotides) under uncultured bacterium. RNAcentral's name for it is "partial 16S ribosomal RNA". It matches the Rfam family "Bacterial small subunit ribosomal RNA", at positions 338 to 795 of the family's 1533-position model. The record is from RNAcentral.
CCUACGGGUGGCAGCAGUGGGGAAUAUUGCACAAUGGGGGAAACCCUGAUGCAGCGACGCCGCGUGAGCGAGGAAGUAUUUCGGUAUGUAAAGCUCUAUCAGCAGGGAAGAAAAUGACGGUACCUGACUAAGAAGCCCCGGCUAACUACGUGCCAGCAGCCGCGGUAAUACGUAGGGGGCAAGCGUUAUCCGGAUUUACUGGGUGUAAAGGGAGCGUAGACGGUCAAGCAAGCCAGAUGUGAAAGCCCAGGGCUCAACCCUGGGACUGCAUUUGAAACUGUAAGGCUAGAGUGCAGGAGAGGUAGGCGGAAUUCCUAGUGUAGCGGUGAAAUGCGUAGAUAUUAGGAGGAACACCAGUGGCGAAGGCGGCUUGCUGGACGAUGACUGACGUUGAGGCUCGAAAGCGUGGGGAGCAAACAGGAUUAGAUACCCGUGUAGUC